Molecule: ribosomal RNA, 253 nt
Filed under: uncultured bacterium
Lineage: Bacteria
Description: partial 16S ribosomal RNA
Rfam family: Bacterial small subunit ribosomal RNA
Source: RNAcentral
CACGUAGGGUGCGAGCGUUGUCCGGAAUUAUUGGGCGUAAAGAGCUCGUAGGCGGUUUGUCGCGUCUGCUGUGAAAACUCGGGGCUUAACCCCGGGCCUGCAGUGGGUACGGGCAGACUAGAGUGCGGUAGGGGAGACUGGAAUUCCUGGUGUAGCGGUGAAAUGCGCAGAUAUCAGGAGGAACACCGGUGGCGAAGGCGGGUCUCUGGGCCGUAACUGACGCUGAGGAGCGAAAGCGUGGGGAGCGAACAGG